RNAcentral lists this ribosomal RNA (491 nucleotides) under uncultured bacterium. RNAcentral describes it as "bacterial SSU rRNA". It matches the Rfam family "Bacterial small subunit ribosomal RNA", at positions 28 to 507 of the family's 1533-position model. The record is from RNAcentral.
GAUGAACGCUAGCUACAGGCUUAACACAUGCAAGUCGAGGGGCAGCAUUUUAGUUUGCUUGCAAACUAAAGAUGGCGACCGGCGCACGGGUGAGUAACACGUAUCCAACCUGCCGAUAACUCGGGGAUAGCCUUUCGAAAGAAAGAUUAAUAUCCGAUGGUAUAUUAAAACCGCAUGGUUUUACUAUUAAAGAAUUUCGGUUAUCGAUGGGGAUGCGUUCCAUUAGUUGUUGGCGGGGUAACGGCCCACCAAGACUACGAUGGAUAGGGGUUCUGAGAGGAAGGUCCCCCCACAUUGGAACUGAGACACGGUCCAAACUCCUACGGGAGGCAGCAGUGAGGAAUAUUGGUCAAUGGACGAGAGUCUGAACCAGCCAAGUAGCGUGAAGGAUGAAGGUCCUACGGAUUGUAAACUUCUUUUAUACGGGAAUAAAGUAUCCUACGUGUAGGAUUUUGUAUGUACCGUAUGAAUAAGCAUCGGCUAACUCCGUG